UACGGGGGGGGCAAGCGUUGUUCGGAAUUACUGGGCGUAAAGCGCGUGUAGGCGGCUCUUCAAGUCAGCCGUGAAAGCCCCGGGCUUAACUCGGGAACUGCGUUUGAUACUGUCGAGCUAGAGUGUGGAAGGGGCGAUUGGAAUUCCGUGUGUAGCGGUGAAAUGCGUAGAUAUACGGAGGAACACCAGAGGCGAAGGCGGCUCACUGGCCCGGUACUGACGCUGAGGUGCGAAAGCGUGGGGAGCAAACAGG
Molecule: ribosomal RNA, 253 nt
Filed under: uncultured bacterium
Lineage: Bacteria
Description: partial 16S ribosomal RNA
Rfam family: Bacterial small subunit ribosomal RNA
Source: RNAcentral